UUGGAGCGGCCGAUGUCUGAUUAGCUAGUUGGUGGGGUAAAGGCCUACCAAGGCGUCGAUCAGUAGCUGGUCUGAGAGGACGACCAGCCACACUGGAACUGAGACACGGUCCAGACUCCUACGGGAGGCAGCAGUGGGGAAUUUUGGACAAUGGGGGCAACCCUGAUCCAGCGAUGCCGCGUGUGUGAAGAAGGCCUUCGGGUUGUAAAGCUCUUUUGUCAGGGACGAAACGGUGNNUNNUAAUANNNGUNUGGUAAUGACGGUACCUGCAGAAUAAGCACCGGCUAACUNNNUGCCAGCAGCCGCGGUAAUACGUAGGGUGCAAGCGUUAAUCGGAAUUACUGGGCGUAAAGCGUGCGCAGGCGGUUUGUA
RNAcentral lists this ribosomal RNA (372 nucleotides) under uncultured bacterium. RNAcentral describes it as "partial 16S ribosomal RNA". It matches the Rfam family "Bacterial small subunit ribosomal RNA", at positions 221 to 584 of the family's 1533-position model. The record is from RNAcentral.